CUCUUCCGAUCUGAAAAGAAUGAAAUUGUUUAUGUUGAGACGAUAGAUAAUCAUAAUUUGGUUCCCUGGUUGUGAAUUUUAAUCUAAGAUGCGGUUCCACAUUCAAAAGCCUAUUCCUUUUUUUUCCUACUUAAUGUCUACAAAUGCUGAAAAAGCAACUUCACGUAGAUAUGAAAUUGGAAAGGCAAGAUGUAUUUCAGCAUUUUUUCUGUUAAAACUGGAUACCUUAUGUUUAUUUUUCAAGAAUCUGUCUGAAGCUAAUUCCAGCAAUUGCUCUUCUUCUGCAUGCGAUAAACCUUUUGGCAUGGAUGUUGUAUUAAUGUUGAACGGAU
RNAcentral lists this long non-coding RNA (332 nucleotides) under Androctonus crassicauda. The record is from RNAcentral. Lineage: Eukaryota; Metazoa; Arthropoda; Arachnida; Scorpiones; Buthidae.